CCGUCGCGCGCAGUUGCAGGCCCACGUUGACCGCCUGCGAGCGGCGGAAAGGUCUAGCGAACCG
Molecule: unclassified non-coding RNA, 64 nt
Filed under: plant metagenome
Description: partial contains 5.8S ribosomal RNA, internal transcribed spacer 2, and large subunit ribosomal RNA
Source: RNAcentral